GACGAACGCUGGCGGCGUGCUUAACACAUGCAAGUCGAACGGAAAGGCCCUGCUUUUGUGGGGUGCUCGAGUGGCGAACGGGUGAGUAACACGUGAGUAACCUGCCCUUGACUUUGGGAUAACUUCAGGAAACUGGGGCUAAUACCGGAUAGGAGCUCCUGCUGCAUGGAGGGGGUUGGAAAGUUUCGGCGGUUGGGGAUGGACUCGCGGCUUAUCAGCUUGUUGGUGGGGUAGUGGCUUACCAAGGCAUUGACGGGUAGCCGGCCUGGGAGGGUGACCGGCCACCUUGGGCCUGCGAUACGGCCCAGACUCCUACGGUAGGCAGCAGUGGGGAAUAUUGCACAAUGGGCGGAAGCCUGAUGCAGCAACGCCGCGUGCGGGAUGACGGCCUUCGGGUUGUAAACCGCUUUCGCCUGUGACGAAGCGUGAGUGACGGUAAUGGGUAAAGAAGCACCGGCUAACUACGUG
Molecule: ribosomal RNA, 468 nt
Filed under: uncultured bacterium
Lineage: Bacteria
Description: partial 16S ribosomal RNA
Rfam family: Bacterial small subunit ribosomal RNA
Source: RNAcentral